AGAGUUAUGUCUAAACAAAUAAGGCAAACGCAAAUGUUGGAGAGAUGUAAAUGGUCUGGUGGAAACACAUGUGGGAAUCUAAAGUCUCUGCCAGUUAGACCUAUGUUUUUUUCUUUCAAUAGUUCAACGACCUUUUUCUAGGGGCACAAUGGCACAUUUAGCAAAACAGUUAUAAUUUCCUGAAUGGAUAAAGUUAAAUACAUUUUGUAAAGAACUAUAUA
Molecule: long non-coding RNA, 221 nt
Filed under: Brassica napus (rape)
Lineage: Eukaryota; Viridiplantae; Streptophyta; Magnoliopsida; Brassicales; Brassicaceae
Description: long non-coding RNA (BNAP_LNC005927)
Source: RNAcentral